UACGUAGGGUGCGAGCGUUGUCCGGAAUUACUGGGCGUAAAGAGUUCGUAGGCGGUUUGUCGCGUCGUUUGUGAAAACCCGGGGCUCAACUUCGGGCUUGCAGGCGAUACGGCAGACGUUGAGUGUUCAGGGAGACUGGAAUUCCUGGUGUAGCGGUGAAAUGCGCAGAUAUCAGGAGGAACACCGGUGGCGAAGCGGGUCUCUGGAACAACUGACGCUGAGGAACGAAAGCGUGGGUAGCAAACAGG
This 248-nucleotide ribosomal RNA is filed under the name uncultured bacterium. RNAcentral's name for it is "partial 16S ribosomal RNA". It matches the Rfam family "Bacterial small subunit ribosomal RNA", at positions 524 to 776 of the family's 1533-position model. The record is from RNAcentral.